RNAcentral lists this long non-coding RNA (240 nucleotides) under Mytilus galloprovincialis (Mediterranean mussel). The record is from RNAcentral. Lineage: Eukaryota; Metazoa; Mollusca; Bivalvia; Mytilida; Mytilidae.
CUUUAAACAAAGCAUUAUGGGUAUUUCUAUUUACGCCAUACCAACAGUUUUACGCCCGUAAGAAAAUUAACGCCUUGCUUAUUUCAAUUUACGCCAGGUUUACUGCUUUUUUCUACGCCCGUAAGGACUACAAAUUUACGUUUCCUGCUCCCUUACGCCUGGAUCUAGACACGUAACUACCACUUACGCCUGGUUUGCGCCUUAUUUCCAGGCGUAAUACGCCUUAUAAUUUCGUACGGG